RNAcentral lists this long non-coding RNA (1501 nucleotides) under Olea europaea (common olive). RNAcentral describes it as "long non-coding RNA (OEUR_LNC009000)". The record is from RNAcentral. Lineage: Eukaryota; Viridiplantae; Streptophyta; Magnoliopsida; Lamiales; Oleaceae.
UUUUUUGCCUGUGACAAUCUUGGUGCUUUCAGAGUAUUGUGAACCGCAGGUGAAAGGUACAAAGCUGUAAUUGUAGAAUUACUAAUUGAAUUGUUCUGUCAAUCUGAAAAUUCAUGUUAUUAGCCUCUUGAUAAAUUUUAACAUGUUGGAAAUGUAAUUUGUUUGAUUAAUCCAUGCUUCUAUCGCUGCGUUGUCGGUUGUCUGGAUAAAACUUGUGUGUCGCCAUCGAUUUACAUGAUGUUUUUAUCGAAAUCAAAGUAGGUCAAAAUACUAAAUUCUUUUACGAUGGAAAAGCAGCUUAAGAAACCUAGGAAGACAUCUCUUACAUUUUAAUUAGUUGACUGGUUAUGGUGAAAAUUAUGGAUAAUAAUUGGGUUACUAGUGAAUAGUCAUUAAACAGUUGUGAAUUUGAAAAUAGACUUCCUGAAGGGCUCUAAAAAUUUAUAAAUGGAUGCUGUCCUUUUAAGUAUUACAUUUUGUUCUAUUUUAGCUGUAUGUCGACUGAAUACCUUUUGAAUGAAAUGUUGAAGGAGAGAAAGUUGAACCAACUUAUUUUGAUUGCAUUCUCAACUGUUGUUGUACGUAACCGGGGAUUAAUUCAUCCCAAUCGGUGUUUACACAUGUAUUUGAUGUACGAUAAUGGACGAGGCUAAUUUUCAUGUAAAUUUCUAUAUAUAUAUAUAUAUAUAUAUAUAAUAAAUUGCAUGAACUUAGAUCAAUCAAAUAAUUAUUCGCCCUAAUUAAUUUGCUCAUUUAGAUUGUAUUCAGGUGGAAUAAUGAUAUAUAAAGUGGAAGGGAGAAAUUUUUUUACAAAAAAUGGGAUUCCUGCAAAAUGGAUUAAUUAUUGAUUCGAAGAGGGAAGUGUGUGUGUGUGUGUAUAUAUAUAUAUAUGGUUUGGGUGUUUUGGGACUACUUCGAGCAGAUAAAGAUAAGUAAUGGAGAAGUAUAUUUGCAAUUGAUUUAUUUCACAUGCUACACAAUUUGGGGUUUAUUUAUAUAAUGGUUUGUACAAUUGAUUUAUGUACUUGUUUUCCAUCUAAGGAUAUGAGAGGAAGGAAUGCUGGAAUUUGUCACAGCUGCAGAAGCAAUGGGCAAUUUUUUAGUGAAUGCUCGAGAAAACGUCAUUGCCCGGGGUGUGCACAUGGAUUUCAAAAAUGUUUCGAUGUUGAAAGGAAGACGUGCAACAAAGGGCAAUUAUUCAACACAUGCAGUCAUAAAUGUGGAUUUUUUGAAUGGGUCGAACUAGGAGAGUCAAGCCGAGAAUAGAGUACCAUUAACGAAGCGCUUAGUGUUGCAGCAAAUGAGGAAGUCGAAGAUUUGCCAAGAAUGUUAGAUACGCUUAUUCCAAUAUCCGACGAACGAGACUUAGAGAUUAACCUGAACAUUACUUUCUGCAAGGGAAAAGGAAGUUCGGAAGGAAACGAGAAAGCAAAGGAGGCCACUUGAUUAGUUGUUUUGUGUUAAAUAUGUUAAUUGAAUUAUGUUUGUACCAUAACCCUCA